RNAcentral lists this ribosomal RNA (450 nucleotides) under uncultured bacterium. RNAcentral describes it as "bacterial SSU rRNA". It matches the Rfam family "Bacterial small subunit ribosomal RNA", at positions 354 to 796 of the family's 1533-position model. The record is from RNAcentral.
GUGGGGAAUAUUGGACAAUGGGCGAAAGCCUGAUCCAGCCAUGCCGCGUGUGUGAAGAAGGUCUUCGGAUUGUAAAGCACUUUAAGUUGGGAGGAAGGGCAGUAAGUUAAUACCUUGCUGUUUUGACGUUACCGACAGAAUAAGCACCGGCUAACUUCGUGCCAGCAGCCGCGGUAAUACGAAGGGUGCAAGCGUUAAUCGGAAUUACUGGGCGUAAAGCGCGCGUAGGUGGUUUUGUAAGUUGGGGGUGAAAUCCCCGGGCUCAACCUGGGAACUGCCUCCAAAACUGCAUGACUAGAGUACGGUAGAGGGUAGUGGAAUUUCCUGUGUAGCGGUGAAAUGCGUAGAUAUAGGAAGGAACACCAGUGGCGAAGGCGACUACCUGGACUGAUACUGACACUGAGGUGCGAAAGCGUGGGGAGCAAACAGGAUUAGAUACCCGUGUAGUCC